CGUAGUAGGUCAUCCGUGUCUGUAUCAUCAGAGAUCUCUUCGGCGUCUUCGCCACCUUGAAGUCGUAGCGGGACGAGAGCGCGGUUUAACACGAAGGUGUUCAACUUCAUCAUGAGAUUCUAAGGAAGAUAAAUAAGGGGCUCAUCGCGGCAUUUUGGCUGAUCGUCACUGGACAAGAAAAGUCUGGGGGCUAUGGAACCCAGGCAAAAGCUUUUAGGGACCAGUAGUCCCAAAAGUGUUAGUGGGAGGGAAGGCAUGGUGGUUUCAACGAAGUAUCUGAACAAAGCCAUCGCACACAAAUAAUGAAAAAACACUUGUUGAACAACAACACGUACAACAUGAA
This is a long non-coding RNA of Nematostella vectensis (starlet sea anemone), 343 nucleotides long. RefSeq lists it as uncharacterized. The record is from RefSeq and is a predicted model, not a curated record. Lineage: Eukaryota; Metazoa; Cnidaria; Anthozoa; Actiniaria; Edwardsiidae. The transcript is spliced from 3 exons.